UUGGCAAGAUUUGUAAAUACUAG
This 23-nucleotide microRNA is filed under the name Panagrellus redivivus. RNAcentral describes it as "prd-miR-7960-3p". The record is from miRBase by way of RNAcentral. Lineage: Eukaryota; Metazoa; Nematoda; Chromadorea; Rhabditida; Panagrolaimidae.